AUUGCCUCAGUAACGGCGAGUGAAGCGGCAACAGCUCAAAUUUGAAAUCUGGCCCUAGGCCCGAGUUGUAAUUUGCAGAGGAUGCUUUUGGCGCGGUGCCUUCCAAGUUCCCUGGGACGGGACGCCGGAGAGGGUGAGAGCCCCGUCUGGUUGGACACCAAGCCUCUGUAAAGCUCCUUCGACGAGUCGAGUAGUUUGGGAAUGCUGCUCAAAAUGGGAGGUAUAUGUCUUCUAAAGCUAAAUACCGGCCAGAGACCGAUAGCGCACAAGUAGAGUGAUCGAAAGAUGAAAAGCACUUUGGAAAGAGAGUUAAAUAGCACGUGAAAUUGUUGAAAGGGAAGCGUUUACGACCAGACUUGUGCCGGUUGAUCAUCCAGCGUUCUCGCUGGUGCACUCUGCCGGCCCAGGCCAGCAUCAGUUCGUCUCGGGGGACAAAGGCGUCGGGAAUGUAGCUCCCUCGGGAGUGUUAUAGCCCUUCGUGUAAUACCCUGCGGUGGACUGAGGUUCGCGCAUCUGCUAGGAUGCUGGCGUAAUGGUCGUCAACGACCCGUCUUGAAACACGGACCAAGGAGUCGUCUUCGUAUGCGAGUGUUCGGGUGUAAAACCCCUACGCGUAAUGAAAGUGAACGCAGGUGAGAGCUUCGGCGCAUCAUCGACCGAUCCUGAUGUUCUCGGAUGGAUUUGAGUAAGAGCAUACGGGGCCGGACCCGAAAGAAGGUGAACUAUGCCUGUAUAGGGUGAAGCCAGAGGAAACUCUGGUGGAGGCUCGCAGCGGUUCUGACGUGCAAAUCGAUCGUCAAAUAUGGGCAUGGGGGCGAAAGACUAAU
Molecule: ribosomal RNA, 827 nt
Filed under: Alfaria sp. CPC 22153
Lineage: Eukaryota; Fungi; Ascomycota; Sordariomycetes; Hypocreales; Stachybotryaceae
Description: eukaryotic LSU rRNA
Rfam family: Eukaryotic large subunit ribosomal RNA
Source: RNAcentral